Molecule: non-coding RNA, 32 nt
Organism: Schistosoma haematobium
Lineage: Eukaryota; Metazoa; Platyhelminthes; Trematoda; Strigeidida; Schistosomatidae
Source: Rfam
UGAUGAGUCCCAAAUAGGACGAAAUGCGCGUC